RNAcentral lists this ribosomal RNA (428 nucleotides) under Bacillota bacterium. RNAcentral describes it as "Firmicutes bacterium partial 16S ribosomal RNA". It matches the Rfam family "Bacterial small subunit ribosomal RNA", at positions 355 to 776 of the family's 1533-position model. Lineage: Bacteria; Bacillati; Bacillota. The record is from RNAcentral.
CCAGGAAUCUUGGGCAAUGGGCGAAAGCCUGACCCAGCAACACCGUGUGGGCGAUGAAGGCUCUAGGGUCGUAAAGCCCUGUUGAUAGGGACGAAGGGCGAAGGGUUAAUAGCCCCUAGCUUGACGGUACCUUUCGAGGAAGCCCCGGCUAACUACGUGCCAGCAGCCGCGGUAAUACGUAGGGGGCGAGCGUUGUCCGGAAUUAUUGGGCGUAAAGAGCGUGUAGGCGGUUCGGUAAGUCUGCUGUGAAAUCUUGGGGCUCAACCCUGAGCGUGCAGCGGAUACUGCCGGGCUAGAGGGUGGUAGAGGCGAGUGGAAUUCCGAGUGUAGCGGUGAAAUGCGCAGAUAUUCGGAGGAACACCAGUAGCGAAGGCGGCUCGCUGGGCCACACCUGACGCUGAGACGCGAAAGCGUGGGGAGCGAACAGG